AGCGAACGCUGGCGGCAUGCUUAACACAUGCAAGUCGAACGAUCCCUUCGGGGAUAGUGGCGGACGGGUGAGUAACGCGUGGGAACCUGCCCCGAGGUACGGAAUAACUCAUGGAAGCGUGAGCUAAUACCGUAUGUGACCUGAGGGUGAAAGAUUUAUCGCCUUGGGAGGGGCCCGCGUCGGAUUAGGUAGUUGGUGGGGUAAUGGCCUACCAAGCCUGCGAUCCGUAGCUGGUCUGAGAGGAUGAUCAGCCACACUGGAACUUAGACACGGUCCAGACUCCUACGGGAGGCAGCAGUGGGGAAUAUUGGACAAUGGGGGCAACCCUGAUCCAGCAAUGCCGCGUGCGUGAUGAAGGCCUUAGGGUUGUAAAGCGCUUUCGGCGGGGAAGAUGAUGACGGUACACGCAGAAGAAGCCCCGGCUAACUUCGUGCCAGCAGCCGCGGUAAUACGAAGGGGGCUAGCGUUGUUCGGAAUUACUGGGCGUAAAGCGCGCGUAGGCGGCUUUGUCAGUCAGGGGUGAAAUCCCGGGGCUUAACCUCGGAACUGCCUUUGAUACUGCAAGGCUUGAGUCUGUGAGAGGAUGGUGGAAUACCCAGUGUAGAGGUGAAAUUCGU
This 617-nucleotide ribosomal RNA is filed under the name uncultured Alphaproteobacteria bacterium. RNAcentral's name for it is "bacterial SSU rRNA". It matches the Rfam family "Bacterial small subunit ribosomal RNA", at positions 28 to 691 of the family's 1533-position model. The record is from RNAcentral. Lineage: Bacteria; Pseudomonadati; Pseudomonadota; Alphaproteobacteria.